GCUGACGAGUGGCGGACGGGUGAGUAAUGUCUGGGAAACUGCCUGAUGGAGGGGGAUAACUACUGGAAACGGUAGCUAAUACCGCAUAACGUCGCAAGACCAAAGAGGGGGACCUUCGGGCCUCUUGCCAUCGGAUGUGCCCAGAUGGGAUUAGCUAGUAGGUGGGGUAACGGCUCACCUAGGCGACGAUCCCUAGCUGGUCUGAGAGGAUGACC
This 215-nucleotide ribosomal RNA is filed under the name uncultured bacterium. RNAcentral's name for it is "partial 16S ribosomal RNA". It matches the Rfam family "Bacterial small subunit ribosomal RNA", at positions 87 to 305 of the family's 1533-position model. The record is from RNAcentral.